CCUACGGGGGGCAGCAGUAGGGAAUAUUGCGCAAUGGGGGAAAGCCUGACGCAGCAACGCCGCGUGGGGGAUGAAGGUUUUCGGAUUGUAAAACUCUGUUGUUAGAGAAGAAAAUGCAGGUAUCUAACUAAUAACCACCUGCUAACUCCGUGCCAGAAGCCGCGGUAUGACGGAGGGGGAAAGCGUUAGUCGGAAUCACUGUGCGUAAAGAGAGCGUAGGCGGGAUAGCAAGUCUGAUGUGAAAUCCUAUGGCUCAACCGUAGAACGUCAUUGGAAACUGGACUUCUAGAGUGUGGGAGAGGAAAGUGGAAUUCCAUGUGUAGCGGUAAAAUCCGCAGAGAUCUGGAGGAAUACUCAUGGCGAAGGCGACCUUCUGGAACAUAACUGACGCUGAUGUGCGAAAGCGUGGGGAGCAAACAGGAUUAGAUACCCGAGUAGUC
This 440-nucleotide ribosomal RNA is filed under the name uncultured bacterium. Its description in RNAcentral is "partial 16S ribosomal RNA". It matches the Rfam family "Bacterial small subunit ribosomal RNA", at positions 338 to 795 of the family's 1533-position model. The record is from RNAcentral.